CCUUACUACUUGGAUAACCGUGGUAAUUCUAGAGUUAAUACAUGCUAAAAGCCCCAACUUCGGGAGGGGCGUAUUUAUUAGAUAAAAAAUCAAUGCCCUUCUGGGCUACUUGGUGAUUCAUAAUAACUUAACGGAUCGCAUGGCCUUGCGCCGGCGACGGUUCAUUCAAAUUUCUGCCCUAUCAACUUUCGAUGGUAAGGUAUUGGCUUACCAUGGUUUCAACGGGUAACGGGGAAUUAGGGUUCGAUUCCGGAGAGGGAGCCUGAGAAACGGCUACCACAUCCAAGGAAGGCAGCAGGCGCGCAAAUUACCCAAUCCCGACACGGGGAGGUAGUGACAAUAAAUACUGAUACAGGGCUCUUUUGGGUCUUGUAAUCGGAAUGAGUACAAUUUAAACCCCUUAACGAGGAACAAUUGGAGGGCAAGUCUGGUGCCAGCAGCCGCGGUAAUUCCAGCUCCAAUAGCGUAUAUUAAAGUUGUUGCAGUUAAAAAGCUCGUAGUUGAACCUUGGGCCUGGCUGGCCGGUCCGCCUCACCGCGUGUACUGGUCCGGCCGGGCCUUUCCUUCUGGUGAGCCUCAUGCCCUUCACUGGGUGUGUUGGGGAACCAGGACUUUUACUGUGAACAAAUUAGAGUGUUCAAAGCAGGCCUUUGCUCGAAUACAUUAGCAUGGAAUAAUAGAAUAGGACGUGCGGUCCUAUUUUGUUGGUUUCUAGGACCGCCGUAAUGAUUAAUAGGGAUAGUCGGGGGCAUCAGUAUUCAAUUGUCAGAGGUGAAAUUCUUGGAUUUAUUGAAGACUAACUACUGCGAAAGCAUUUGCCAAGGAUGUUUUCAUUAAUCAGUGAACGAAAGUUAGGGGAUCGAAGACGAUCAGAUACCGUCGUAGUCUUAACCGUAAACUAUGCCGACUAGGGAUCGGGCGAUGUUUCUAUCUUGACUCGCUC
This 943-nucleotide ribosomal RNA is filed under the name Neooccultibambusa jonesii. Its description in RNAcentral is "SSU rRNA". It matches the Rfam family "Eukaryotic small subunit ribosomal RNA", at positions 130 to 1081 of the family's 1831-position model. Lineage: Eukaryota; Fungi; Ascomycota; Dothideomycetes; Pleosporales; Occultibambusaceae. The record is from RNAcentral.